AGUGAUAUUUGAGGCAGAACUGAAGUGCCUGGUAUCAGGGCAGGGGCUGGGGCACAGCUUCUUCCCAGACAGAACUGCAGACAGCGGCCAAUGUUCCUUUUCUGAGCCCUACCCCACAGAGAGCCAA
Molecule: long non-coding RNA, 127 nt
Organism: Phyllostomus discolor (pale spear-nosed bat)
Lineage: Eukaryota; Metazoa; Chordata; Mammalia; Chiroptera; Phyllostomidae
Exons: 3
Source: RefSeq, a predicted model, not a curated record